GUCUUUCAUGUGCCAUUUUUCAAUUCACAGAUAAAAAGAAAAAGGAAUGGGAAUGUGUGUAGUCACAGAGACUGGCUCAGCUGGAAUCUUUGUUCCUUUUUAGAGCAUCCUUGAGAAGCAUGGUACUGAAGGUGCAAAACCAGAAAAGGCAAAAAAACUCUGAGUCUAAAAGUGAUCUGAAUGUGAUUUUAAAAAAAACAAGGAGCUAGAAAAGAAGGAUGAGGAAGAAAAAUCUGAGGAUGAGAAAGACAAAAAAACCCACCAAAAACCAAAACCCAAAGAAAGUGAAGAUGAAGAAGCAGCAGAAGAAACAGAGGAAUAUGAUGAAGAAGAGCAUGAAGAAGAGCAUGAAGAAGUAUAAUGUUAGUUUUCCUUUUUACACAGAGUCAGAUUCCAGUCAUUUAUAUUGUGUUAGCUGGUAAAGAAAUGUCCCUAGCUCCCAAUAAGGCAGAGUUGUUGUGGGAGAAAUUAUUACAUUCAUGAUUUGUUGCACUACACUACAUUGUAAAUUUAAGUGAGUGCUCUAGAUUUGAUACAAAGAACUCUGAAAAAAAGAUCUUGUACACAAGAAUGUGUUCUGACACAAUCAAUACACACAAUUACUCCUUUUCAUCACUAAAACAGCGAUGUCUGUUGUUUCAUAUAUAUCAGGACUUCAUUAUAGCAUUUUCCUUUUUCUUUCCCAAGAAUCUAUUACUGUUUUAAAGUAUGGGUGCUCAAGUGCAGUUUAAAUCACGUUUCUUCUAGAAAUUGUCUUCUCUACACGUAUGGUGAUGUUGUUUUUCCAUCGGCUUAGAAAAAUUACUACGUCUUCCUGUUUUGAAGAUGGAGAUGCCUUUGGUGCUUUCAGUUAUGACAGUAUGAUUGAAGCAACAUAGUAGCUGUUGUUUCUAAGUGUUAACACUGCUCAAGCCUUACACUACUUGAAGCAAAAUUCUGGAGGUAGGCUGAGUAUCAACAUAUUUAAUGCAGUUAGCUUAAUGCUUUAGCUGUGUUGGUUGUAAGCAGGCUCUCCAAGAACACAUUGGAGUUUAAUUGUAUUGUGCUGUAAAAGAGGACAGGGAAUCCUUUUCUUUUCUUUUGCAAAGUGUUUUGCAGAUGUGCCUUUUUAAGGUCCUCUGCAAUGCUUACUAAUAGAGUAAGCUUUAUGCCACUGUGUUUACGAUGCAAAGGGAAAAAAAAAAAAAGUGUUUUACUUGAAAUUGUGUCUAAGCAUUUGCACUAGUCAAUUCUAUACCUUAACAGUAAAGUCUUGAAACAACAUAAUUUUUGAUAACCACUGUAAAAAAAGACAUAUAGCCUUUAUGGACAUGAGCUGCUUGUUGGCAGCUGACUCAUCUGAAAAACUUUAUGUAACUUCUGAGUUCAGAUAACUAAAAAAUAAUUGACAGCACUUUAAUAUAAACUCACCUGGAAGGACCUUAGUAAUACAGAUAAACGGCAGUAAUUAGUAAAGUCUAGUUAGAAGUAAAUAGUAAAGUUUAGUUUGAAGAAGACAUUGCCUUUAGCAUUUUGGUCUAAAGGAACACAUUAAAAUAUGUUAUAUUACUUUCUUGAAUCAGGAUAAAUAAUAAACAAAGAUAAUUUGGCUUAGAAAGAAUAUAUGGCAGAACUUAAGAAAUUAUGGAAUCCUGGUUUACACUGGUGCCCUCACUAGUGAUGAAAACUUGAACCCUUUGCCUCAGUUUCUCCACCUCUUAUGGCAAUAUUUUCUUACCUCAGAGCUCCUAAGUGAGCUGGCAGAUGACAGCUAUCUAUGUAAUUGUUAAUGUACUUGUUUAUUUUCCUACAGAACAAACUAGACAGAAACAGACAACAAAUCAAUAAGAAAUAAAUCCCAUAAUAUAGAAAAGGAAUGUGGUGAAGUAUUUUAAUGCAUGAUUUAAUUAGAAAAAUAACAGAAUGCCGAGCAAAAGAAAAAGCUGAAUGUUUGGAAACAUCGUUUUUAUUUGAGAACAAACAGCUGUAGCAUUGAAAACUUAUUACUGAGAUUAGACACUUGAAGAACACUGUGACAGCACAUUCUCCGUAUCUUAUUGUCUUUUGAUAGUAAAAAAAUACUAUUUUUUUUUCUUGUUACUACCCCUAUUGAUUAGGGGGUUUGGUCUUUUUUUGUUCGUUUGUUUUGAGGUUUUAUUUUCUUAAAAAAAGUAUUUCCCUUCACUGGUGACUGGGAAAUAAUUCUGCAUUAUUCUGUGAACUUGUCUGCAGCAAGAAUCAGUCCUUCAGGUGCAAUUUUCAAGUGUUCCAACAAAAUACCUAUUAUAUAUAAAGGAAAUGAAACUAAAAUGCUAUGCAGGUCAUACCUCAGAGGUUAACUGCUUUUAUUUUGAAGUGUUGUUGUAGAUUACAAUGUGUAAUAAAUAUUCAGCUGCAUUGCUCAGGAAA
Hirundo rustica (Barn swallow) is the source of this 2388-nucleotide long non-coding RNA. RefSeq lists it as uncharacterized. The record is from RefSeq and is a predicted model, not a curated record. The transcript has 3 exons. NCBI's taxonomy places the organism in Eukaryota, Metazoa, Chordata, Aves, Passeriformes, Hirundinidae.